This 311-nucleotide ribosomal RNA is filed under the name uncultured bacterium. RNAcentral's name for it is "bacterial SSU rRNA". It matches the Rfam family "Bacterial small subunit ribosomal RNA", at positions 774 to 1073 of the family's 1533-position model. The record is from RNAcentral.
AGUCAAUAGAUACCCCUGGUAGUCCACGCCGUAAAACGAUGAGUACUAGGUGUAGGAGGUAUCGACUCCUUCUGUGCCGCAGUUAAACACAAUAAGUACUCCGCCUGGGAAGUACGGUCGCAAGAUUAAAACUCAAAGGAAAUUGACGGGGGGUCCCGGCACAAGCAGCGGAGCAUGUGGUUUAAUUCGAAGCAACGCGAAGAACCUUACCUAGACUUGACAUCUCCUGAAUAGUGUAGAGAUACAUGAAGCCCUUCGGGGUCGAGGAAGACAGGUGGUGGCAUGGUUGUCGUCAGCUCGUGUCGUGAGAU